GUACAGUAGUUAUUGACAAUAUUAAUUAUGUCAUAAUUUUGCCAUAUCGGUGUGCUGCAUGGUGUGCUUGUGUGAACUUUUGGGGAUUCAGUGGGGUUUCCAUUUAGGAAAUUCCAUCCCGUAGGAAGUGACUCAAUUGAGUGUCCCCAGGCUCCAUGGUGCUCUCUUACAUAAAAUGAGCACCUACAAGCUAGAAGUGUAUCAUUUUCAUCGUUGUUCACUGUUAUAUGUGUCGCUAGUACAAUUAUGACGAAUAAAGAAUACGAUUACUAUAAAGGUCUUUAUGCUCUCAGUGCAGAAAGUAAUGCUGAAGACUGUAGAAAACUUUACAAAAAUUCAAAGGAAUCCUAUGAAAGGGUCAUGAUGAUAGACCUUAAAUAUGGGACCGAAGGACUGCCGGUUUCUCGAAAACAUGCAACAACUUGGAUAUGGCAAGGCACGGACCUUGACAGGAAUUAGGCGAUGAGGAACGUAGAGGUUACAAGAAUAUUGAUGGCGUAGACAUUUGCAAUGACGUCAUGAUAAAAGCCAAAGAGAAAUCGAUUUACACGAAUUUAAUUGUGGGGAGAUGGCUUCGAGGAUUCUAAAAGUUGAAUGUGAGUGCUGACCAAUAUGAUGCUGCAGUUUGUGUUGGGGUCUUUACCUAUGGUCACGUGAAAGGCAAAGGUUUUGAUGAUUUUGUGCAUAUUCUUAAACCUGGUGGAAUUGCAUGUUUUACCGUGAGGAAGGUAGUGUGGGAUGAUAAAGUCUAUGGGUACACAGAUAAAAUGGAUGAGCUCUGUGAAAUGAAGAAA
Molecule: long non-coding RNA, 794 nt
Organism: Xenia sp. Carnegie-2017
Lineage: Eukaryota; Metazoa; Cnidaria; Anthozoa; Malacalcyonacea; Xeniidae
Exons: 2
Source: RefSeq, a predicted model, not a curated record